UGAAGGAUAGAAAAGUGGCUUAAAUCGUAUGACUAGAAAUCAUAUACAGUAACACUGUCAAGGGUUCGAAUCCCUUUCCUUCAA
Molecule: transfer RNA, 84 nt
Filed under: Candidatus Vidania fulgoroideorum
Lineage: Bacteria; Pseudomonadati; Pseudomonadota; Betaproteobacteria
Description: tRNA-Ser
Rfam family: tRNA
About the family: Transfer RNA (tRNA) molecules are approximately 80 nucleotides in length. Their secondary structure includes four short double-helical elements and three loops (D, anti-codon, and T loops). Further hydrogen bonds mediate the characteristic L-shaped molecular structure. tRNAs have two regions of fundamental functional importance: the anti-codon, which is responsible for specific mRNA codon recognition, and the 3' end, to which the tRNAs corresponding amino acid is attached (by aminoacyl-tRNA synthetases). tRNAs cope with the degeneracy of the genetic code in two manners: having more than one tRNA (with a specific anti-codon) for a particular amino acid; and 'wobble' base-pairing, i.e. permitting non-standard base-pairing at the 3rd anti-codon position.
Source: RNAcentral